This 570-nucleotide ribosomal RNA is filed under the name uncultured Bifidobacterium sp. RNAcentral's name for it is "bacterial SSU rRNA". It matches the Rfam family "Bacterial small subunit ribosomal RNA", at positions 141 to 721 of the family's 1533-position model. The record is from RNAcentral. Lineage: Bacteria; Bacillati; Actinomycetota; Actinomycetes; Bifidobacteriales; Bifidobacteriaceae.
GAAUUCGAUUCUCCUGAAACGGGUGUAAUGCCGGAUGCUCCAGUCCAUCGCAUGGUGGUCUGGGAAAGAUUUCAUCGGUAUGGGAUGGGGUCGCGUCCUAUCAGGUAGUCGGCGGGGUAACGGCCCACCGAGCCUACGACGGGUAGCCGGCCUGAGAGGGCGACCGGCCACAUUGGGACUGAGAUACGGCCCAGACUCCUACGGGAGGCAGCAGUGGGGAAUAUUGCACAAUGGGCGCAAGCCUGAUGCAGCGACGCCGCGUGCGGGAUGACGGCCUUCGGGUUGUAAACCGCUUUUGAUCGGGAGCAAGCCUUCGGGUGAGUGUACCUUUCGAAUAAGCACCGGCUAACUACGUGCCAGCAGCCGCGGUAAUACGUAGGGUGCAAGCGUUAUCCGGAAUUAUUGGGCGUAAAGGGCUCGUAGGCGGUUCGUCGCGUCCGGUGUGAAAGUCCAUCGCUUAACGGUGGAUCCGCGCCGGGUACGGGCGGGCUUGAGUGCGGUAGGGGAGACUGGAAUUCCCGGUGUAACGGUGGAAUGUGUAGAUAUCGGGAAGAACACCAAUCACUAGUG